RNAcentral lists this non-coding RNA (241 nucleotides) under Priestia koreensis. Its description in RNAcentral is "Bacillus koreensis T-box sequence". It matches the Rfam family "T-box leader". Rfam says of the family: Uncharged tRNA acts as the effector for transcription antitermination of genes in the T-box leader family. Lineage: Bacteria; Bacillati; Bacillota; Bacilli; Caryophanales; Bacillaceae. The record is from RNAcentral.
GAAAAUACCACGAUUGGGAAGAGUACGGUAUUCUACCCCUUUAGAGAGAGAAAUCAACUGCUGAAAGAUUUCUUAGGAAGGUAGCGCCAGAAGGUCGCCCAUGAGUAGCUUUCUUGAACGAUUUAGUAGGGAAAGCCGGUCGAACCGUUAUCGAAUCAAGUGUAUAGACACGACACGUGUAGUUCAUUUUAGUGUCUAUAAAAAAAGGUGGUACCGCGAACUCACUCCUUUCGUCCUUUUG